GGAGCGGCCACGGGUGAGUAACGCGUGGGAACGUACCUUUUGCUACGGAAUAACUCAGGGAAACUUGUGCUAAUACCGUAAGUGCCCUUCGGGGGAAAGAUUUAUCGGCAAAGGAUCGGCCCGCGUUGGAUUAGCUAGUUGGUGAGGUAAAGGCUCACCAAGGCGACUAUCCAUAGCUGGUCUGAGAGGAUGAUCAGCCACACUGGGACUGAGACACGGCCCAGACUCCUACGGGAGGCAGCAGUGGGGAAUAUUGGACAAUGGGCGCAAGCCUGAUCCAGCCAUGCCGCGUGAGUGAUGAAGGCCCUAGGGUUGUAAAGCUCUUUCACCGGUGAAGAUAAUGACGGUCACCGGAGAAGAAGCCCCGGCUAACUUCGUGCCAGCAGCCGCGGUAAUACGAAGGGGGCUAGCGUUGUUCGGAUUUACUGGGCGUAAAGCGCACGUAGGCGGACUUUUAAGUCAGGGGUGAAAUCCCGGGGCUCAACCCCGGAACUGCCUUUGAUACUGGAAGUCUUGAUUAUGGUAGAGGUGAGUGGAAUUCCGAGUGUAGAGGUGAAAUUCCUAGAUAUUCGGAGGAACACCAGUGGCGAAGGCGGCUCACUGGACCAUUACGGACGCUUAGGUGCGAAAGCGUGGGGAGCAAACAGGAUUAGAUACCCUGAUACUCCACGCCGUAAACGAUGAAUGUUAGCCGUUGGGGAGUUUACUCUUCGGUGGCGCAACUCACGCAUUAAACAUUCCGCCCGGGGAGUACGGUCGCAAGAUUAAUACUCAAACGAAUUGACUGGGGCCCGCACAAGCGGUGGAGCAUGUGGUGUGAUUUCGAAGCAACGCGCAGAACCUUACGAGCCCUUGACAUACCGGUCGCGGGACACAGACAUGUGUCUUUCAUUUCGGCUGGACCGAGAUACAUGUGCUGCAUGGCUGUCGUCAGCUCAUGU
This 941-nucleotide ribosomal RNA is filed under the name Brucella cytisi. RNAcentral describes it as "bacterial SSU rRNA". It matches the Rfam family "Bacterial small subunit ribosomal RNA", at positions 92 to 1065 of the family's 1533-position model. The record is from RNAcentral. Lineage: Bacteria; Pseudomonadati; Pseudomonadota; Alphaproteobacteria; Hyphomicrobiales; Brucellaceae.